CCUACGGGGGGCAGCAGUGAGGAAUAUUGGUCAAUGGCCGUAAGGCUGAACCAGCCAAGUCGCGUGAAGGAAGAAGGAUCUAUGGUUUGUAAACUUCUUUUAUACGGGAAUAACGCGCCUUACGUGUAGGGCUUUGCAUGUACCGUAUGAAUAAGGACCGGCUAAUUCCGUGCCAGCAGCCGCGGUAAUACGGAAGGUCCGGGCGUUAUCCGGAUUUAUUGGGUUUAAAGGGAGCGUAGGCCGCAUGUCAAGCGUGCUGUGAAAUGUCCGGGCUCAACCCGGGCCUUGCAGCGCGAACUGGCGUGCUUGAGUCCGCGGAAAGCAGGCGGAAUUCGUCGUGUAGCGGUGAAAGGCUUAGAUAUGACGAAGAACCCCGAUUGCGAAGGCAGCUUGCUGCAGCGGAACUGACGCUGAUGCUCGAAAGCGCGGGUAUCGAACAGGAUUAGAUACCCUUGUAGUC
RNAcentral lists this ribosomal RNA (460 nucleotides) under uncultured bacterium. RNAcentral's name for it is "partial 16S ribosomal RNA". It matches the Rfam family "Bacterial small subunit ribosomal RNA", at positions 338 to 795 of the family's 1533-position model. The record is from RNAcentral.